AGAGUUUGAUCCUGGCUCAGGAUGAACGCUAGCGGUAGGCUUAACACAUGCAAGUUGAACGGUAACAGGGGUAGCAAUACCUGCUGACGAGUAGCGCACGGGUGAGUAACGCGUAUGCAACCUACCCUUAACAGGAAGAUAGCCCGGGGAAACCCGGAUUAAUACUCCAUAAUAUAUUUUUGUGGCAUCAUAAAAAUAUUAAAACUCCGGUGGUUAAGGAUGGGCAUGCGUGUCAUUAGGUAGUUGGUGAGGUAACGGCUCACCAAGCCCACGAUGACUAGGGGUUCUAAAAGGAUUAUCCCCCACACUGGUACUGAGACACGGACCAGACUCCUACGGGAGGCAGCAGUGAGGAAUAUUGGUCAAUGGGCGCGAGCCUGAACCAGCCAAUCCGCGUGAAGGAUGACUGCCCUAUGGGUUGUAAACUUCUUUUAUAUGAGAAGAACGGCAAUUACGUGUAAUUGUAUGACUGUAUCAUAUGAAUAAGCAUCGGCUAACUCCGUGCCAGCAGCCGCGGUAAUACGGGGGAUGCAGGCGUUAUCCGGAUUUAUUAGGUUUAAAGGGUGCGUAGGCCGUUUAUUAAGUCAGUGGUAAAAUCCUGCAGCUCAACUGUAGGAUGUCCAUUGAUACUGAUAAACUUGAGUGCAGUUGAGGUAGGCGGAAUGUGUAGUGUAGCGGUGAAAUGCAUAGAUAUUACACAGAACACCGAUUGCGAAGGCAGCCUGCUAAACUGUAACUGACGCUGAUGCACGAAAGCGUGGGUAUCAAACAGGAUUAGAUACCCUGGUAGUCCACGCCGUAAACGAUGAUCACUCGUUGUGUGCGAUACAUAGUACGUGGCUGAGCGAAAGCAUUAAGUGAUCCACCUGGGGAGUACGAUCGCAAGGUUGAAACUCAAAGGAAUUGACGGGGGCCCGCACAAGCGGAGGAACAUGUGGUUUAAUUCGAUGAUACGCGAGGAACCUUACCUGGGCUUAAAUGUAGUUAGCUUUAGUUCGAAAGAAUUUUUUCCUUCGGGACUGAUUACAAGGUGCUGCAUGGUUGUCGUCAGCUCGUGCCGUGAGGUGUCGGGUUAAGUCCCAUAACGAGCGCAACCCCUAUUGUUAGUUACCAGCAUGUAAAGAUGGGGACUCUAACAAGACUGCCACCGUAAGGUGUGAGGAAGGCGGGGAUGACGUCAAAUCAGCACGGCCCUUACGUCCAGGGCUACACACGUGUUACAAUGGCCGGUACAAAGGGCAGCUACUUGGUAACAAGAUGCUAAUCUCAAAAACCGGUCUCAGUUCGGAUCGAAGUCUGCAACUCGACUUCGUGAAGCUGGAUUCGCUAGUAAUCGCGCAUCAGCCAUGGCGCGGUGAAUACGUUCCCGGGCCUUGUACACACCGCCCGUCAAGCCAUGGAAGCCGGGGGUACCUGAAGUCCGUCACCGCAAGGAUCGGCCUAGGGUAAAACUGGUAACUGGGGCUAAGUCGUAACAAGGUA
RNAcentral lists this ribosomal RNA (1482 nucleotides) under metagenome. RNAcentral describes it as "bacterial SSU rRNA". It matches the Rfam family "Bacterial small subunit ribosomal RNA". The record is from RNAcentral.